GCCAGUAUGGUGAUAUGAGCCUCGGUUUGUAACCGAGUGGGUUCGGGUUCGAAUCCCGAGUAAGGCA
Molecule: non-coding RNA, 67 nt
Organism: Trichonephila clavipes
Lineage: Eukaryota; Metazoa; Arthropoda; Arachnida; Araneae; Nephilidae
Source: the annotation of a GenBank genome assembly